ACUAGUGAUUUCCGUAGGUGAACCUGCGGAAGGAUCAUUACUAAAAUUCACCCAACUCAACCAAGCCUUCAGUUGCGAGUGUCUUCGGAUGCCGCACACACAACUAAAAAUCAAAGCAUCUAAGUAAGACCAAAACAAAAACCAAAUUCUCAACGGUGGAUGUCUUGGUUCCCACAACGAUGAAGAACGCAGCGAAGUGCGAUAAGCAGUGCGAAUUGCAGAACCGUGAGUCAUCAGAUUUUUGAACGCAACUUGCGCCGUCGUGGCUCGCCACGCGGCACGCCUGGUCCAGUGUCUUAUUUUCUCCUCACCCAAAUCUUAAUGCGAGAGAUACCCUUCUCUUGCCAAGAAUGAAAGCACCCUGCGUUUGCGAGCGACCUCUGGUCGCACUCAAUGCGGUCGUCACAUUCUCGUAAUGUGAACUCAUUGAGAGCGAAUGCAGCGCAGCCUAGCUGCGAGUGCUUAGUCAAGCCAACUUCGGCAUCGUAUCUGGGCUCAGGUGGGACUACCCGCUGAACUUAAGCAUAUCA
RNAcentral lists this ribosomal RNA (530 nucleotides) under uncultured eukaryote. RNAcentral's name for it is "eukaryotic LSU rRNA". The stretch from base 145 to 297 matches the Rfam family "5.8S ribosomal RNA". The record is from RNAcentral.